RNAcentral lists this ribosomal RNA (1375 nucleotides) under metagenome. RNAcentral's name for it is "bacterial SSU rRNA". It matches the Rfam family "Bacterial small subunit ribosomal RNA". The record is from RNAcentral.
GGCUCAGCGGUAAGGUUAUUGGCUAGAUUUAGACAUGCAAGUCGAAAGCCCUAAGUGGGCUCCUAGAGUACACUUGAGGCUUGGCGAACGGGCGAGUACAAAAGGUGAACAUACCUCCUGAUCUGGGAUAAGUAGAUCAUUCUGCAAAUACCGGAUAACUAAAAAAAAGAUUCAUCGUCAGGAGAUUGGCACCUUUCCCAUCAGAUUGUUGGUAUGGUAAUGGCAUACCAAGUCGAAAACGGGUAGCGGGUCUUAACGGAUGGUCCGCCGCACUAGAACUGAGAACUUUCUAGACUCUUUCGAGAGGCUGCAGUCGAAAACAUUGGGCAAUGGAGGAAACUCUGACCCAGCUAAGCCAGAUGAGGGAUGACAGUUAUUUGAUUGUAAACCUCAGACGUUGGUGAAAAUAAUGAUAUGAACCAACUGAAUAGUCCUGUCUAAGUCCGGUGCCAGCAGACGCGGUAACACCGGCGGGACGAAUCUUCCGCGAAUUGACUAGGCGUAAAGCGUUCGUAGGCUGUCCAUGAGGCUGGUAGCAAAAUCUAUGUGCCCAACACAUAACCAUUACCAGAACCGAUGGACUAGAGUUUGGGAGAAGGUGGUAGAAUUCCCAAGGGAGGGAUAAAAUUCAUAGAUCUUAGGAGGAACACCAGUGGCGAAAGCGACCACCUAGACCAAUACUGACGCUCAGGAACGAAAGUAUGGGGAGCGAAAAGGAUUAGGUACCCUUGUAGUCCAUACCGUAAACGAUGUCAGCUAAAUGAGUNGGAUACGUAUAAAAAACACCCNGCUNNUUACAGGUAACCCGUUAAGCUGACCGCCUUCGGAGUACGAGCGCAAGCUUAAAAAGAAAAAGAAUUGGCUGUAGUAGAUAUAUUGAGUGGAUGAUGCUAUUUAAUGAGUCAAUACGCUCGAACCUUACCAGUAGUUGCAUGACCCGUUGUACCCCGAGAGAUCAGGGUAUGUUAAAGGGCCACAUUUGUUGCAUGGCCGUCGUCAGCUCGUGUCUUGAGAUGUUCGGUUAAGUCCGACCAACGAGCGCAACCCUUGUUCCUAGGAUUCGAACAAUCCCAAACUAGGAAAAUCGCUGAUGAUAAAUCAGACGAAAGUGAGGAUUACGACAGGUUUCAUGGCGAUCAUAUACUGGGCUAUCAGCAUCAUAUAAUGGCGUGGAACAAAAGGCUGCAAAAGCGUGAGCUGGAGCAAAACCCCAAAACACGUCUCAGUUCGGAUUGAAGUCUGCAACUCGACUUCAUGAAGUAAGAAUUCAAAGUAAUCGUGUUUAAGUAGUGACACGGUGAAAUUUACCUCUACUGAGUACACAUUGUCCAUCACACAGGAUGAAGGCAAGUUCGGCGAAGUUUUUUAAAUAACC